UGCCGAGUACUAGCUGACAUUUUAGUACCCAAUUCCGUCAGGUCCGGAAGGAAGCAGCGGUAAGUAUUUAAUUUGUGCAGUUAGCUCCUCGGCAUUU
This 97-nucleotide signal recognition particle RNA is filed under the name Ignavibacteriota bacterium. RNAcentral's name for it is "Ignavibacteriae bacterium signal recognition particle sRNA small type". It matches the Rfam family "Bacterial small signal recognition particle RNA". Rfam says of the family: The signal recognition particle (SRP) is a universally conserved ribonucleoprotein involved in the co-translational targeting of proteins to membranes. Lineage: Bacteria; Pseudomonadati; Ignavibacteriota. The record is from RNAcentral.